This is a long non-coding RNA of Saimiri boliviensis boliviensis (Bolivian squirrel monkey), 555 nucleotides long. RefSeq lists it as uncharacterized. Lineage: Eukaryota; Metazoa; Chordata; Mammalia; Primates; Cebidae. The record is from RefSeq and is a predicted model, not a curated record.
GUUGAUUUUGUCCAACAGCUUCUUGCUUUGGAAGGUGUCCUUCCUGGUGGAACACACUGCAAAGAGCACCUGACACACGACCACAGCACGGGGCCUGCUGAAGAGGGAGUUUUAUCACCUCAAACUCAUGGCCACUUGGUAUUUUCAAAAGCCAGCCAAGAGAAAGAUUUGCAGAGAGCUGUGCAGAAAACAUGCAGCCCAUUCAGCCUCUCGGUUUCACCUUUUGCUGGAACACAGAGGUACAAAUGACGCUUAAUGUACCAACGCUUUCUGACUGACUCCUCUCUACCCUGAAUACAAGAGACCCUAAUAGAUACGUGGAAAUAUCAUCGCCCCUGUUCAGCAUGAAGAAGUUACAGAAGACGGACCUUCAUCCUUCUGCAACCCUUAGAAUUAAGGGUCCUCUUGUAAAAGGGUGGGGGGGAUAGGUUAGAAGCAUUCAAACCAGAGUGACUCUGUUUCGAAUAUGGGCCAAGAAAAAUGAAGCUGGGCCCUGCUGGGCUGCAUUCCCAGGAGGUCAAGCAUUCCUAGCCUCCAGAUGUCAACAUUCAGGGA